UUUCCGUAGGUGAACCUGCGGAAGGAUCAUUAAAGUUAUAGUCCCCUGGCCCUCUGGGCUGGGGUCUUCUAUACCACCCUUUGUUUAUUACACCUUUGUUGCUUUGGCAGGCCUGCCCUCGGGCUGCUGGCUCCGGCCGGCUCGCAUCUGCCAGAGGACCUAAACUCUGUUUGUAUAUGAAGUCUGAGUACUAUAUAAUAGUUAAAACAUUCAACAACGGAUCUCUUGGUUCUG
RNAcentral lists this unclassified non-coding RNA (234 nucleotides) under plant metagenome. RNAcentral describes it as "partial contains small subunit ribosomal RNA, internal transcribed spacer 1, and 5.8S ribosomal RNA". The record is from RNAcentral.